Molecule: long non-coding RNA, 577 nt
Organism: Armigeres subalbatus
Lineage: Eukaryota; Metazoa; Arthropoda; Insecta; Diptera; Culicidae
Exons: 3
Source: RefSeq, a predicted model, not a curated record
CUAGAUGUCGUGCGCGAAGAUGAGUAAGUCGUUCUGGUGGCCGACGUACCCGGGGGGAGUGUUGGCAACCCGGCUGCCAGCGCGCACCUUUCAUCAGGGAUCUUGGGCCACACACACCGACGAAAGAGACUAGAAGCAAUGGACAGGUAGAGUACUAUAUCGUAAGCAGAAAGAUGAAAAAGAAAUCAAAACAAAACAUACAACGUAUCCUAAUUGCACAUUGCGAAAGCUAAAACAUUUAAACUUAUUAUAUACUGUUAAAACCUAAUCUACACACUUGGAUUGCUUGAAUUAGGUACUAAAUCGUCACAAUUAGUUAUUCCUUUUCCUAACCCUAUAUUCACGCUGUUGUACGACUUUACAUCCACGAUCUAAACUACGACUACGCUGAACAGACGAGCAUACUUAGGGGACUAAACGUAAGUCUAAAAACCUUAUUCUUACUUAAAUGUAAAUGUAUAUGAAACCUGUGAAUUAUGAACUAAGAAAUAUGUAUUUACAACUACGUUCCAUUAGGAGAAUUAUAAUCCGCCGCUGUCAUACACCCAGAUAACGUGUUUAACCCGCGGAGAUUAUA